CCCUUAGAUGUUCUGGGCUGCACGCGCGCUACACUGAAGCGUUCAACGAGUAUUCACCUUGCCCGGGAGGGUUGGGUAAUCUUUUCAAAACGCUUCGUGAUGGGGAUAGAUUAUUGCAAUUAUUAAUCUUCAACGAGGAAUUCCUAGUAAGCGCGAGUCAUCAGCUCGUGCUGAUUACGUCCCUGCCCUUUGUACACACCGCCCGUCGCUACUACCGAUUGGAUGGUUUAGCGAGAACUUUGGACCGGAGCUCGGGUGGUCAGCAAUGGCCGCCCGAGACAUACUGGGAAAUCGCUCCAGCUUGAUCAUCUAGAGGAAGUAAAAGUCGUAACA
RNAcentral lists this ribosomal RNA (333 nucleotides) under uncultured eukaryote. Its description in RNAcentral is "partial 18S ribosomal RNA". It matches the Rfam family "Eukaryotic small subunit ribosomal RNA", at positions 1470 to 1796 of the family's 1831-position model. The record is from RNAcentral.